This 124-nucleotide non-coding RNA is filed under the name Thermus scotoductus. RNAcentral describes it as "MoCo sequence". It matches the Rfam family "Molybdenum/Tungsten riboswitch aptamer (Moco RNA motif)". The record is from RNAcentral. Lineage: Bacteria; Thermotogati; Deinococcota; Deinococci; Thermales; Thermaceae.
CAUCCCCUUAGCCUCCGAGCCCGGAUAGACCCCAUGGGCCUUCCGGGCCGGGCUUAUGGCCCCGGGGUGGUGGGGGCAACCCCGCCGCCUGCCGCGGUUGCAAAGGAGGUAAGGGUGAACAAAA